This is a long non-coding RNA of Artibeus jamaicensis (Jamaican fruit-eating bat), 655 nucleotides long. RefSeq lists it as uncharacterized. NCBI's taxonomy places the organism in Eukaryota, Metazoa, Chordata, Mammalia, Chiroptera, Phyllostomidae. The record is from RefSeq and is a predicted model, not a curated record. The transcript has 3 exons.
CCAACCUGAGAGGAUUUAGGAAGUUGUGAAACAUGAGUGAAAAACAGCCAUUCAUAUAGAAAAGCAGCCUGGGUGGGUCUGUACCUGGGGUGGGAAGCAGACUCAGGGGAACUUCCAUGUGGGGAAAAUAGUAUUAGUGAGAUUGAUGGAGUCUUAGCUAUAGAACCAGCUGCUGGCUUUGUGACUCUGUGGGGGAACCAUUUAGACAAGGGAUGAUGGCCUCUGCUCACCUUGACGCCAGACACUCCAUUUUCUACCUGUGUGCCACUGGUGACUUUCAAGCUGCUACCUUGGUGCUGGAGCCCAGAGGGAGUGAGUCUGAGUAUUUGAUUUUGUUUCUUAAUAUGAUUUCCGCCACCAGCGUUUAAGUUCUGCACAGAGGGCUGUGAGAGGACAUGCUGCGGCUGCAGCCUGGAAGAGAGAUGUGCUGGUGAGCCAUCUCGGACUAUACAGAGGAGGAUGAUACACUGGAGGAAGGCAGAGCAAAGAGUAGAAGCAACUCUGGUCCUUUCAGACCAGAAUGAGAACUCCCCCGCCAGCAUGGAUCUCUCACCUUGAGUCGAGGACUUCAAAGAGAAAUAAAUAUUCUGGGGUCUCUUUGUUAUUAUAAUUGGCUUAGCCUCUGCCCUAAGUAAUAUACAGAAUACAUUUUUAA